This 253-nucleotide ribosomal RNA is filed under the name uncultured bacterium. Its description in RNAcentral is "partial 16S ribosomal RNA". It matches the Rfam family "Bacterial small subunit ribosomal RNA", at positions 524 to 776 of the family's 1533-position model. The record is from RNAcentral.
UACGUAGGGGGCGAGCGUUGUCCGGAAUUAUUGGGCGUAAAGAGCUCGUAGGCGGUUUGUCGCGUCGAAUGUGAAAACCCGGGGCUCAACCCCGGGCCUGCAUUCGAUACGGGCAGACUAGAGUUCGGUAGGGGAGUCUGGAAUUCCUGGUGUAGCGGUGAAAUGCGCAGAUAUCAGGAGGAACACCGGUGGCGAAGGCGGGACUCUGGGCCGAUACUGACGCUGAGGAGCGAAAGCGUGGGGAGCGAACAGG